This 429-nucleotide ribosomal RNA is filed under the name bacterium. Its description in RNAcentral is "partial 16S ribosomal RNA". It matches the Rfam family "Bacterial small subunit ribosomal RNA", at positions 355 to 776 of the family's 1533-position model. The record is from RNAcentral.
UAGGGAAUCUUCGGCAAUGGGGGCAACCCUGACCGAGCAACGCCGCGUGAGUGAAGAAGGUUUUCGGAUCGUAAAGCUCUGUUGUAAGAGAAGAACGUGUGUGAGAGUGGAAAGUUCACACAGUGACGGUAACUUACCAGAAAGGGACGGCUAACUACGUGCCAGCAGCCGCGGUAAUACGUAGGUCCCGAGCGUUGUCCGGAUUUAUUGGGCGUAAAGCGAGCGCAGGCGGUUUAAUUAGUCUGAAGUUAAAGGCAGUGGCUUAACCAUUGUUCGCUUUGGAAACUGUUAAACUUGAGUGCAGAAGGGGAGAGUGGAAUUCCAUGUGUAGCGGUGAAAUGCGUAGAUAUAUGGAGGAACACCGGUGGCGAAAGCGGCUCUCUGGUCUGUAACUGACGCUGUGGCUCGAAAGCGUGGGGAGCAAACAGG